GUACUGAUGAAGAGUCCCAAGUAGGACGAAACAGCUUGCUGUCCAAUAC
RNAcentral lists this non-coding RNA (49 nucleotides) under Trichobilharzia regenti. Lineage: Eukaryota; Metazoa; Platyhelminthes; Trematoda; Strigeidida; Schistosomatidae. The record is from RNAcentral.